This 491-nucleotide ribosomal RNA is filed under the name uncultured bacterium. RNAcentral describes it as "partial 16S ribosomal RNA". It matches the Rfam family "Bacterial small subunit ribosomal RNA", at positions 29 to 506 of the family's 1533-position model. The record is from RNAcentral.
AUUGAACGCUGGCGGCAUGCUUUACACAUGCAAGUCGAACGGUAACAGGCCUUCGGGUGCUGACGAGUGGCGAACGGGUGAGUAAUACAUCGGAACGUACCCAGAGGUGGGGGAUAACGCAGCGAAAGCUGUGCUAAUACCGCAUGUGAUCUGAGGAUGAAAGCGGGGGACCGAGCAGCAAUGUUUGGCCUCGCGCCUUUGGAGCGGCCGAUGUCGGAUUAGCUAGUUGGUGGGGUAAAGGCCUACCAAGGCGACGAUCCGUAGCUGGUCUGAGAGGACGACCGCCCAAACUGGGACUGGGACACGGCCAAAACUCCUCGGGGAGGAAGCAGUGGGAAAUUUUGGAAAGGGGGCGAAAACCGGACCCAGAAAGGCGGGGGGGGGAAAAAAGGCCUUCGGGUUGAAAACCGUUUUUGGAAGGAAGAAAAGGGUGUCCGCUAAUACCGGGGGCUAAUGACGGUCCCGGCAAAAAAAGCACCGGCUAACUACGG